UGGGGAAUAUUGCACAAUGGGGGGAACUCUGAUGCAGCGACGCCGCGUGAGUGAUGAAGGAAUUCGUUUCGUAAAACUCUGUUCUAUGGGAAGAAAAGGACUGUACCAUAGGAGAAAGCUCCGGCUAAAUACGUGCCAGCAGCCGCGGUAAUACGUAUGGAGCGAGCGUUGUCCGGAAUUAUUGGGCGUAAAGGGUGCGCAGGCGGCUUUACAAGUUGGAUGUGAAAUAUUGUGGCUCAACCACAAACGUGCAUCCAAAACUGCAAAGCUUGAGUUAAGGAGAGGUAAGUGGAAUUCCUGGUGUAGCUGUGGAAUGCGUAGAUAUCAGGAGGAAUACCUGUGGCGAAGGCGACUUACUGGACUUAAACUGACGCUCAGGCACGAAAGCGUGGGGAGCAAACAGG
Molecule: ribosomal RNA, 404 nt
Filed under: Fusobacteriota bacterium
Lineage: Bacteria; Fusobacteriati; Fusobacteriota
Description: Fusobacteria bacterium partial 16S ribosomal RNA
Rfam family: Bacterial small subunit ribosomal RNA
Source: RNAcentral